Molecule: unclassified non-coding RNA, 375 nt
Filed under: Hevea brasiliensis (rubber tree)
Lineage: Eukaryota; Viridiplantae; Streptophyta; Magnoliopsida; Malpighiales; Euphorbiaceae
Source: RNAcentral
AACACAGCGAUUCUGAUAUUUCCUCUUGAAAACAAAAUUACAAAGAAACAGACAGUGAGAAAAUAGGGCUUACAACUUGGAUUAGUGAAAAUGGUAGUAGCAGAUCUGUAGUAGGUGUUACAGGAUCAUCCAGUAUAGAUGUGAACAUGAACAGCGAGAAUGAGAAUAGCAUAGAGUGUGAAGAAAAUAAGAGUAUGAACAGCAAUCGCCUUUCCAUUAGUCUUCAUGCUCCCAAAUUCGAGAGUGCGGUUGUUACCCGGUAUCUGAAACAGAAGCCCAGGUUGCAGCAGGAUGAAGAGUACUACUCCGAUGAGCACCGGCCCCCAGUCCGCCAUUAACAGAGAGGUAUUUCUUUCGCAAAAUAGGUGUAGGUGU